UUCUUCAUCAAAUCUUUGGAUCAGCUGCAGUCUUGCUGACCGAAGACUUAGGCCAGACUUGUGUAAAGCCAGUAUACAGUUUCAUAAUAUUCCACAAUGAGGAAGUAAGAAAAGUGAGCUAACACUUUACUUCAUCAACACGUCAGAGAGAAAUUACAUGAUUUCAUCACGUCUGCUGCUGUGUUUCGUAGAAGAGAAAGCUGUUUUGUCAUGUUCUCUGCAUCUAAUGCCACAUAGUGGCAGUUUCUUCUCUCUCUCUGUCUCUCUCCAGGUGGCGUGAGCUUGGUGUGUGAGCAGGUGUUGCUCAUCGGUUAUCACAGGCAGUUCACAUCCUGCCUCAUUCACUCACCUCUGCAGCACUGGCUUGUCUCCGUCUCACCUCCAGCCGUACACCGGAACGCCAUUCCUCUGCAGCACCUGUUCUUCUCUGUCACUGCUCCAGCCACACACCACCUCCAGCAUCUGGACCCACUUCCUUCCCGGUCCUGUUCUUCCACAGUCUGUUCCCUGCUCUUCCCGGUACCCAAUCAUAGUUAGUUUCUAGUAAUCGUAGUUUUGUGUCAGCUUGAGCUGUUUCACGAAUUCCUGUUAAUAGUGUUUUCUGAUUCCAUGACUACUCUCCUCUAGUUUAGUGUUUAUUGUUCUGGCCACAUACAGAUUUAGUCGGUUAUUGGUUGAGUAGUCCUUUUGAUUUAGUCUUUUCUGCCACUGUUACAGUGUUUGGGCUAUGACAGUUUCCUCUGGUUAUCUUAUGUAGUUUAGCUUACCUGUUAUUUAGCCUCCCACCAUUAGCGGUCUUCCUUGAGUUAUAGAUAGCUUUGUUUUGCUUAAGUAAUUUCUCCUGUAAUUGAAUCUCUCUCCUAAUAAAUAUUAUUGUAUUGCA
This is a long non-coding RNA of Amphiprion ocellaris (clown anemonefish), 883 nucleotides long. RefSeq lists it as uncharacterized. The transcript is spliced from 2 exons. Lineage: Eukaryota; Metazoa; Chordata; Actinopteri; Pomacentridae. The record is from RefSeq and is a predicted model, not a curated record.